This is an RNA transcript of Pygocentrus nattereri (red-bellied piranha), 3057 nucleotides long. It is a transcript of the gene named L-asparaginase 1-like, with no coding region annotated. The record is from RefSeq and is a predicted model, not a curated record. The transcript has 13 exons. NCBI's taxonomy places the organism in Eukaryota, Metazoa, Chordata, Actinopteri, Characiformes, Serrasalmidae.
GAGAGAGAGUAACUCCGGCGGUGAUUCAGCAGUCGGGCAGCGCGCGCUGGGAGUGAAACUGGAACAAAAAAAUAAUAAAUAAAUAAAUAAAUAAUAAUAAUAAUAAGUUUUAUUUAAAACCCGCAUAUCCGGUUUUGGACCAUGGACAUCGAGAGAAAGGUGUUUGUUUUAUAUGCUGGAGGAACUUUCGGCAUGAAGCCUAAUAAGGAAGGCAAGCUCUUUCCAGAGCGUCUACAGAUGAUCCAGGACUUCAUCAUCCAGCACGGCAUGCUUUAUGAGAGGAAGCCAGGAGAAUCAGUGGAUGACACCAGGAGACGCAUCAACACCUCAGAUGGUUUCAUCACACUAUAUACACAGUUGUAUAAGGAUGACCCCAAUGCCAAAGAAAAAGGCUACAAGAUUCUCUACAAGUUUGAUGGCCUGCAAAACCCCAUAGAUUCCUCCAGCGCCACCCCGGAAAACUGGAGUGAAAUGGCUAAAAUCAUAUUGGACAAUGCAGAAGUAUAUGAUGGAUUUGUCAUUAUUCAUGGAACAGAUACGAUGGCCUACACCUCCUCUGCCUUGUCCUUCAUUUUGGGACACAUCAAUAAGCCUGUGAUAGUGACCGGAGCUCAGAUCCCCAUAUUUGAGCCUCGUACUGAUGGUAUCAGCAACUUGGUUAACUCCAUGCUCAUGGCUGGAUAUUUCUCUGACAAGUCAAUACUGCAUAAGGUGAUGCUUUGCUAUCACAACAAGUUGUUCCAGGGAAACCGUGUGAUGAAGGUGGACUGUGAUUCCUUCGAUGUAUUUGAGAGCCCUGAGGUGUGUCCUCUAGUUAGCCUGGAAACCACAAUUAAAUUUUCAACGACUGAAGAGAAGAAGGAGAAGCCGAAAGACCAUCUUAACCUGAAAGCAGUGUUCAAAAUGAAAGAAGCACUGAAUGUGAGGAUACUGCAAUUUUUCCCAGGGAUCACUGAAACCUAUGUGCGUGGGAUUCUGAAUGGAGCUGACGGUGUUGUCCUGCAGACCUUUGGUGCUGGGAAUGUUCCAGAAGAAAACUGGCUUAAGGAUUGUCUGAUGGAAGCAAAUAAAAAAAACAUUCUAAUGUUGAACUGUACUCAGGUUUAUCGAGGUACUGUCGUACCCAUCUAUGCUGCUUCAGAGAUACUGAGAAAGGCUGAAGUGAUACCUGGAUAUGACAUCACUCCUGUAGCGGCAAUGACUAAAAUGAUCUGGGUGCUGAAAUUAACAUCUAAUGUUCAGGAGAGACGUAAGAUAACAAGGAGAAGAUUUAGGUUUGGAGAAGAUUGUUUGGAUGAAGGAGUAGAUUAGUUCGCGAAGAUUCAGGACUGGAGGGAAAUACAGGACUGUACGAAGAUUCAGGACUGGACGAAGAUGGACUGGACGAAGAUUCAGGACUGGACGAAGAUGGACUGGACGAAGAUUCAGGACUGGAGGGAGAUCCAGGACUGUACAAAGAUUCAGGACUGGACGAAGAUGGACUGGACGAAGAUUCAGGACUGGAGGGAGAUCCAGGACUGUACAAAGAUUCAGGACUGGACGAAGAUGGACUGGAUGAAGAUUGAGGACUGGAUGAAGAUUCAGGACUGGAGGAAGAUUCAGGACUGGACGAAGAUGGACUGGACGAAGAUUCAGGACUGGAGGGAGAUCCAGGACUGUACAAAGAUUCAGGACUGGACGAAGAUGGACUGGAUGAAGAUUCAGGACUGGAUGAAGAUUCAGGACUGGAGGAAGAUUCAGGACUGGACGAAGAUUCAGGACUGGAGGGAGAUCCAGGACUGUACGAAGAUUCAGGAGUGAAAGUGGAAGAUUCAGGAGUGGAUGAAGAUUCAGGACUGGAGGAGGAAGAUUCAGGAGUGGAUGAAGAUUCAGGACUGGAGGAGAAAACAUCAAUAACGUUUCACUUGCGGACGGCACUCACAGUGGAAAACCAGGAACACUUGAGUGAAAGAUGGGACUUCAGCUCAGUAUGAGGAAGACUGAGGUUACCACCACUAAUUGGAGAUGGUGGUACUUAAAUCAAUGACUAUAAUCAAAGGUUCCUGCAAUCGAGAAAUAUGAGGGUUAAUGGAGCGCAGCGUUUAUGGAGAGUCAUCUGCUCCCCCGAUGCAGCUGAACCUGGAAUUCAUCCUAAAAGAAGAGUGAAAACAGGCACAGACACACCUGCACUAACUGCCACUUCAUCAAAACAAUAAGAAGCCAUUAUCUAAGCGAAUGUCUAUCCCAGAGGAGCUCAGUGGAAUUUACCAGUAUAAUUACGCUUGUGAUCUUCUGAAAAGAUGUUUGACUUAACGCAGUGGACGGUGAAACAGAGCAACAGGCUCAAAUUUAUUCAGUUACCUGCUAAUCGUGUUACUCCGAAAUUUGCGAGGUCUUGUCCUUGUGAUUUGCAUGUCUGCUCUUUUUGUUGCAAUAAAAAUCUCUGCAGUAAUUAUUGGGAUUAAAACAUGAUGUAGUACUUCAUCAAAGCCAUCUUAGUAUUCACAUCGUUUCCUCUGGGUAUCUGAAAAAAGCAGGUGCUGUUUGGAAUAAUGAAAUAAAUCUGUUGUACAUUAUUAUGCAACAAAGAACUGCAGUGAAUGCAGGAAUGCAUGUGACAUUUGUGUUAUGUAGUAAAAUAAAAACAGACUUAACAAAUCUUCAGUGUAACUAAACUACCUUACCUUAAUGGCUGUUAAUCAGAAAGCCAACAGGCUCAUAAGCUCUGUGGAUAACACUGAGAGGAAGAGUAAGUCGACGUAUUUACUGACGCAAUUAUUAUUAAUCUUAACUGCAACAUAAAUGACUUGUGUUUUACAUGGAGAUAUUCAAAUGCCCUUGUGUAUAAAGAGCUGCUGUAAGUAGUCCUGGAUACAGUGUGCAGUACAGUGCACACUCGAGGACAUCCUCAGACCUCAGAGUCAGUAAUCAGACGGCACGGCUCUCCCUCAGAGCAGAUGCAUUGUGUGUAUCGAUGGAGCUCCAACACCUCAAAUUUACGAUGUUCUCACAUUGUGACUAUUUACAACUGAACAUUGUGCAACAUUUAAAUGUUCUAAAUAAAGCUUGACUAACUGG